GUGCGAGACCGGCUGAACGUGUGAAGUUAGCCUGUUUGGAGACCCGUUUCAAUUGGACGUAGCCUGUUUGUUGGGCUGCCGGCGAAUGUAUUCUUGCGUUCCUUGUGCACUUUAACACGGCACCACUGCACUAGUGGACUACCGCAAGGUGUGCGAGCAUCACUUUAAUGCGGAAGAUGUCGUUCAAGAGACAAGCUAUAUUGAUUAAGCCACUGGCCGCACAGUGACCACGUCGCUCUCACGUUUGUGGCUUCAACCUGAGGCCGUGCUGACGGUAUUCCCUGAUUGCUAAAAGCUGCCUGCCUAGAGAAGGAACUAGACAAGAGGACCCAGAGAGAAGGACGCAAGAAUUGUCGGAAAGGCGUCGUGCCGAGUGGUUUCGCCGCAUUCGUCGCGCUGACAUCGACAAAAAUUCUCCGAACUACAAAGUGUGCGGUGUUCACUUCAUUUCUGGAAAGCCAUCUUAUUUGAUGGACGAGACAAACCCAGACUGGGCACCAAGUCUUCAGUUAGGGUACGCAAUAAACCCUAUAGAUCUUGCAAGGGACAGGUAUGGCAUGCCCUUUUUGCUCGCUUUUGCUUUCUCCUACAACUCGAGCAACAAUAAAGCAUUGCUCUCACGAUAAUAUUUGCGCAUUAUGUAUCGCUGCAAGUUUUUAGCAAGGCCAGAAAUGCACUAUAAAGGUUGUGGAAUGGUUAUCAUAAAUGAAAGUAUUUUUUCUUGUGAUUCGUUAGCUGCUGUGAUGAAAGUACAUACUUGCGUAGUGUGAAUGUAAUUUGACACGCUUUAAACUUAUCAAGACGGGGGCUGUA
RNAcentral lists this long non-coding RNA (813 nucleotides) under Dermacentor andersoni. Its description in RNAcentral is "uncharacterized LOC126523652". Lineage: Eukaryota; Metazoa; Arthropoda; Arachnida; Ixodida; Ixodidae. The record is from RNAcentral.